RNAcentral lists this ribosomal RNA (362 nucleotides) under Carnobacterium gallinarum. RNAcentral's name for it is "bacterial SSU rRNA". It matches the Rfam family "Bacterial small subunit ribosomal RNA", at positions 23 to 369 of the family's 1533-position model. Lineage: Bacteria; Bacillati; Bacillota; Bacilli; Lactobacillales; Carnobacteriaceae. The record is from RNAcentral.
CUCAGGACGAACGCUGGCGGCGUGCCUAAUACAUGCAAGUCGAACGCACGAAGUUGAAGAGCUUGCUCUUUGACCAAGUGAGUGGCGGACGGGUGAGUAACACGUGGGUAACCUGCCCAUUAGAGGGGGAUAACAUUCGGAAACGGAUGCUAAUACCGCAUAGUUUCAGGAAUCGCAUGAUUCUUGAAGGAAAGGUGGCUUCGGCUACCACUAAUGGAUGGACCCGCGGCGUAUUAGCUAGUUGGUGAGGUAAUGGCUCACCAAGGCAAUGAUACGUAGCCGACCUGAGAGGGUGAUCGGCCACACUGGGACUGAGACACGGCCCAGACUCCUACGGGAGGCAGCAGUAGGGAAUCUUCCGC